Molecule: non-coding RNA, 316 nt
Organism: Oncorhynchus mykiss (rainbow trout)
Lineage: Eukaryota; Metazoa; Chordata; Actinopteri; Salmoniformes; Salmonidae
Source: RefSeq, a predicted model, not a curated record
UUGAUCCUGAAUCUGACCAAACUCAAGGACUUUCACCUGGAGAGUGUUACAGAGAGCACCUUGUGGAGAUCAACAGACUGUGGCUCCACCUAUGAGAGGAUGAAUGACAAAGUGGGAUCUAAGACUGUGCUGAGUUACCUGUAUGUCUGUCCAUCCAACAAGAGAAAGAUAAUGGUGCUGACAGACCAUGAGUUUGAGAGCAGUGUGCUCAUCAGCUCGGAUGAAGGAGCGAGCUACCAGAAAAACCGCCUCAGCUUCUACAUCCGAAUCCUUCUGUUCCAUCCAACACAGGAGGACUGGGCUCUAGCCUACAGCC